GCCUGGGUGGUGGAAUGGUAGACACGAGGGAUUCAAAAUCCCUUAUCUUCGGGUGUGAGGGUUCGAGUCCCUUCCUAGGUACCA
Molecule: transfer RNA, 84 nt
Filed under: Candidatus Altimarinota bacterium
Lineage: Bacteria; Candidatus Altimarinota
Description: tRNA-Leu
Rfam family: tRNA
About the family: Transfer RNA (tRNA) molecules are approximately 80 nucleotides in length. Their secondary structure includes four short double-helical elements and three loops (D, anti-codon, and T loops).
Source: RNAcentral